UGGCAAUCAUGCGCUGCUGCUCAACAUAUCUGGAUCCUUGUGGUAGGAAACCAAACAUGCAAGCACGCUUCUUCAUUUGAUUCGUGAACGCGACCGCACUGACAUGCCAUCUGCAGCCGCCACGGCUGCACUCAACAGCUUGAAUGCAGAAUGCUUGAUUGCUGCAAGAACAUUCUGGAUGUUCUCUUGGAAAAAGGAGAGGCUCCUGUUGCAGCUUCAUACGGAGUAUUUCGUAGCAACCAACAGAACGUCAUUUGUGAACACGUAAUCUCAAUGCC
This 278-nucleotide long non-coding RNA is filed under the name Setaria italica (foxtail millet). Its description in RNAcentral is "long non-coding RNA (SITA_LNC000028)". The record is from RNAcentral. Lineage: Eukaryota; Viridiplantae; Streptophyta; Magnoliopsida; Poales; Poaceae.